RNAcentral lists this ribosomal RNA (253 nucleotides) under uncultured bacterium. RNAcentral's name for it is "partial 16S ribosomal RNA". It matches the Rfam family "Bacterial small subunit ribosomal RNA", at positions 524 to 776 of the family's 1533-position model. The record is from RNAcentral.
UACAGAGACUGCAAGCGUUAUUCGGAAUUACUGGGCGUAAAGCGUGCGCAGGCGGUUUGCUAAGACAGGUGUGAAAUCCCCGGGCUUAACCUGGGAACUGCGCUUGUAACUGGCAAGCUAGAGUGUGGCAGAGGGGGGUGGAAUUCCACGUGUAGCAGUGAAAUGCGUAGAGAUGUGGAGGAACACCGAUGGCGAAGGCAGCCCCCUGGGCUAACACUGACGCUCAUGCACGAAAGCGUGGGGAGCAAACAGG